This 486-nucleotide ribosomal RNA is filed under the name uncultured bacterium. RNAcentral describes it as "partial 16S ribosomal RNA". It matches the Rfam family "Bacterial small subunit ribosomal RNA", at positions 30 to 507 of the family's 1533-position model. The record is from RNAcentral.
AUUGAACGCUGGCGGCAUGCCUUACACAUGCAAGUCGAACGGCAGCACGGGUGCUUGCCCCUGGUGGCGAGUGGCGAACGGGUGAGUAAUACAUCGGAACAUGUCCUGUAGUGGGGAAUAGCCCGGCGAAAGCCGGAUUAAUACCGCAUACGAUCUACGGAUGAAAGCGGGGGACCUUCGGGCCUCGCGCUAUAGGGUUGGCCGAUGGCUGAUUAGCUAGUUGGUGGGGUAAGGGCCUACCAAGGCGACGAUCAGUAGCUGGUCUGAGAGGACGACCAGCCACACUGGGACUGAGACACGGCCCAGACUCCUACGGGAGGCAGCAGUGGGGAAUUUUGGACAAUGGGCGAAAGCCUGAUCCAGCAAUGCCGCGUGUGUGAAGAAGGCCUUCGGGUUGUAAAGCACUUUUGUCCGGAAAGAAAUACUUGGCCCUAAUACGGUCGGGGGAUGACGGUACCGGAAGAAUAAGCACCGGCUAACUACGUG